AGGAGGAGGUGUCAUCUGUGGACAAUACCUGGAAGGGCAAGGGGUGGUGGGUGUCACUAAUAGAAACCAGCCCCAGCUACUUCACUGCAGGCUGGUGCCCUGGUGAAGGUGAAUCAGUCAGAGGAGUGCCGACCGCCCACGGGGCUGCACCAUAUCAUGGUUCCCACUAGCAAUAUAUGAGAGUUCCAGUUGCUCCACAACCUUGCCAACAUAUGACAUGUGCUUUUGUUAAAGAUCUUGCUGUUGAUUCCCGGGCAAGAUGGCCGAAUAGGAACAGCUCAGGUCUGCAGCUCCCUGAGAGACCAACGCAGAAGGUGGGUGAUUUCUGCAUUUCCAACUGAGGUAGCUGGCUUAUCUCACUGGGACUGCUUAGACAGUGGGUGCAGCCCACAGAGGGCGAGUCGAAGCAGGGUGGGGUGUCACCUCACCCGGGAAGCGCAAGGUGUCGGGGAACUCCCUCCCCUAACCAAUGGAAGCCGUGAGGGAUUGUGCCUUGAGGAACCAUGUAUUCCAGCCCAGAUGCUAUGCUUUUCCCACAGUCUUCACAACCCAGAGACCAGGAGAUUCUCUUGGGUGUCUACACAACCAGGGCCCUGGGUUUCAAACACAAAGCUGGGUGGCCAUUUGGGCAGACACCGAGCUAGCUGCAGGAGUUUCUUUUCAUACUCCAGUGGCGCCUGGAAUGCCAGCGAGACAGAACCGUUCACUCCCCUGGAAAGGGGGCAGAAGCCAGGGAGCCGAGUGGUCUUGCUCAGCAGAUCCCACCUCCACAUGGCCCAGCAAGCUAAGAUACACUGGCUUGAAAUUCUUGCCGCCAGCACAUCAGUUUGAAGUCCACCUAGGAGGCUUGAGCUUGGUGUGGGGAGGGGUGUCUGCCAUUACUGAGACUUGAGUAGGUGGUUUUCCCCUCACAGUGUAAACAAAGCCCCUGGGAAGUUCGGACUGGUUGGAACCCACCACAGCGACGCGAAGGUGCUGUAGCCAGACUGCCUCCCUAUGUUCCUCUUCUCUAGGCAGGGCAUCUCUGAAAAAAAGGCAGCAGCCCCAGUCAGGAGCUUAUAGAUAAAACUCCCAUCUCCCUGGGACAGAGCACCUGUGGGAAGGGGCAGCUGUGGGCGCAGCUUCAGCAGACUUAAAUGUUCCUCCCUGCUGGCUCUGAAGUGAGCAGCGGACCUCCCAGCACAGCGCUCCAGCUCUGUUAAGGGACACAUUGCCUCCUCAAGUGGGUCCCUGACCCCUGUGCCUCCUGACAGGGAGACACCUCCCAGUAGGGGUCGACAGACACCUCAUACAGGGGAGCUCAGGCUGGCAUCUGGCAGGUGCCCCUCUGGGAUGAAGCUUACAGAGGAAGGAGAAGGGAGCAAUCUUUGCUGUUCUGCAGCCUCCGCUGGUGAUACCCAGGCAAACAGGGUCUGGAGUGGACCUCCAGCAAACUCCAGCAGAUCUGCAGAAGAGGGGCCUGUUAGAAAGAAAACUAACGAACAGGAGGCAAUAGCAUCAACAUCAUAAAAAAAAAACAACCACUCAAAAACCCCAUCAAAAGGUCACCAACAUCAAAGACCAAAGGUAGGCAAAUCUACGAAGAUGAAGAAAAACCAGCACAAAAAGGCUGAAAAUUCCAAAAACCAGAAUGCUUCAACUCCUCACCAGGAAGGGAACAAAACUGGAUGGAGAAUGAGUUUGAUGAAUUGACAGAAGUAGGCUUCUGAAGGUGGGUAAUAACAAGCUCCUCCUGAGCUAAAGGAGCAUAUUCUAACCCAAUACAAGGAGGCUAAGAACCUUGAAUAAAGGUUAGAUGAAUUGCUAACUAGAAUAACCAGUUUAGAGAAGAAAAUAAAUGGCCUGAUGGAGCUGAAAAACACAGCACAAGAACUUCGUGAAGCAUACACAAGUAUCAAUAGCCGAAUCAAUCAAGCAGAAGAAAAGAUAUCAGAGAUUGCAGAUCAACUUAAUGAAAUAAAGUGUGAAGACAAGACUAGAGAAAAAA
Molecule: RNA transcript, 1987 nt
Organism: Pongo pygmaeus (Bornean orangutan)
Lineage: Eukaryota; Metazoa; Chordata; Mammalia; Primates; Hominidae
Gene: CHD9NB
Gene name: CHD9 neighbor
Exons: 3
Source: RefSeq, a predicted model, not a curated record